GAUGAACGCUGGCGGCGUGCCUAAUACAUGCAAGUCGAGCGAACAUGCGAGGAGCUUGCUCCUCUUACCUUAGCGGCGGACGGGUGAGUAACACGUGGAUAACCUACCUAUAAGUCUGGGAUAACUUCUGGAAACCAGAGCUAAUACCGCAUAAUAUAUUGAACCGGCUUCUUCAAUAGUGAAAGACAGUUAUUCUGUCCCUUAUGGAUUGACCCGCGCCUUAUGAGCUAGUUGGUAAGGUGACGGCUUACCCAGGCAAUGGUGGUUAGCCGACCUGAGUGGGUGGUGGGGCACACGGGAAGUGAGGCUCGGUGGACACACCGAGGGGGGGAAGCAGCAGGGACUCUUACGGGAUGGGGGAGAGGCUGAUGUUGCACAGCGGCGGGAGCGCUGAAGCAGCGACGCUGCGUGGAGUAUGAUAUUAGGCAGGAACAAAUGUGUAAGUGAUUGUGACCGUAUUGACGGUACCUAAUAAGAAAGCCACGGCUAACUACGUG
Molecule: ribosomal RNA, 497 nt
Filed under: uncultured bacterium
Lineage: Bacteria
Description: partial 16S ribosomal RNA
Rfam family: Bacterial small subunit ribosomal RNA
Source: RNAcentral